UGAAGGGCCAUGGCUCAGUGGUACAGCAUCUGAUUUAUGUGCAGAAAGCAUGAGAUUCAAUCCCCAUCAUUUUUAG
Podarcis lilfordi (Lilford's wall lizard) is the source of this 76-nucleotide non-coding RNA. NCBI's taxonomy places the organism in Eukaryota, Metazoa, Chordata, Lepidosauria, Squamata, Lacertidae. The record is from the annotation of a GenBank genome assembly.